This 303-nucleotide ribosomal RNA is filed under the name uncultured bacterium. RNAcentral's name for it is "partial 16S ribosomal RNA". It matches the Rfam family "Bacterial small subunit ribosomal RNA", at positions 507 to 807 of the family's 1533-position model. The record is from RNAcentral.
AGCAGCCGCCGCGGGAAUACGUAGGGGGCAAGCGUUGUCCGGAAUUAUUGGGCGUAAAGCGCGCGCAGGCGGUUUCUUAAGUCUGAUGUGAAAGCCCCCGGCUCAACCGGGGAAGGUCAUUGGAAACUGGGAAACUUGAGUGCAGAAGAGGAGAGUGGAAUUCCACGUGUAGCGGUGAAAUGCGUAGAGAUGUGGAGGAACACCAGUGGCGAAGGCGACUCUCUGGUCUGUAACUGACGCUGAGGAGCGAAAGCGUGGGGAGCGAACAGGAUUAGAUACCCCUGUAGUCCCUGUCUCUUAUAC